UACGUAUGGUGCAAGCGUUAUCCGGAUUUAUUGGGUUUAAAGGGUGCGUAGGCGGGCUUUUAAGUCAGCGGUAAAAAUUCGGGGCUCAACCCCGUCCGGCCGUUGAAACUGGGGGUCUUGAGUGGGCGAGAAGAAGGCGGAAUGCGUGGUGUAGCGGUGAAAUGCAUAGAUAUCACGCAGAACCCCGAUUGCGAAGGCAGCCUUCCGGCGCCCUACUGACGCUGAGGCACGAAAGUGCGGGGAUCGAACAGG
This 252-nucleotide ribosomal RNA is filed under the name uncultured bacterium. RNAcentral's name for it is "partial 16S ribosomal RNA". It matches the Rfam family "Bacterial small subunit ribosomal RNA", at positions 524 to 776 of the family's 1533-position model. The record is from RNAcentral.